Molecule: ribosomal RNA, 433 nt
Filed under: uncultured bacterium
Lineage: Bacteria
Description: partial 16S ribosomal RNA
Rfam family: Bacterial small subunit ribosomal RNA
Source: RNAcentral
AACGAACGCUGGCGGCAUGCCUAACACAUGCAAGUCGAACGAGACCUUCGGGUCUAGUGGCGCACGGGUGUGUAACGCGUGGGAACCUGCACUUAGGUUCGGAAUAACUAUCCGAAAGGGGUGCUAAUACCGGACAAUGUCUUCGGCCCAAGGAUUUAUCGCCUUUGGAUGGGCCCGAGUUGGAUUAGCUAGUUGGUAGGGUAAAAGCCUACCAAGGCGACGAUCCAUAGCUGGUCUGAGAGGAUGAUCAGCCACACUGGGACUGAGACACGGCCCAGACUCCUACGGGAUGCAGCAGUGGGGAAUAUUGGACAAUGGGCGAAAUCCUGAUCCAGCAAGGCCGCGUGAGUGAUGAAGGCCUUAGGGUUGUAAAGCUCUUUUACCCGGGAUGAUAAUGACAGUACCGGAAGAAUAAGCUCCGGCUAACUCCGUG